UAGGGAAUCUUCCACAAUGGACGCAAGUCUGAUGGAGCAACGCCGCGUGAGUGAAGAAGGUUUUCGGAUCGUAAAGCUCUGUUGUUGGUGAAGAAGGAUAGAGGCAGUAACUGGUCUUUAUUUGACGGUAAUCAACCAGAAAGUCACGGCUAACUACGUGCCAGCAGCCGCUGUAAUACGUAGGUGGCAAGCGGUGUCCGGAUUUAUUGGGCGUAAAGCGAGCGCAGGCGGAAUGAUAAGUCUGAUGUGAAAGCCCACGGCUCAACCGUGGAACUGCAUCGGAAACUGUCAUUCUUGAGUGCAGAAGAGGAGAGUGGAAUUCCAUGUGUAGCGGUGGAAUGCGUAGAUAUAUGGAAGAACACCAGUGGCGAAGGCGGCUCUCUGGUCUGCAACUGACGCUGAGGCUCGAAAGCAUGGGUAGCGAACAGG
Molecule: ribosomal RNA, 429 nt
Filed under: bacterium
Lineage: Bacteria
Description: partial 16S ribosomal RNA
Rfam family: Bacterial small subunit ribosomal RNA
Source: RNAcentral